Molecule: ribosomal RNA, 490 nt
Filed under: uncultured bacterium
Lineage: Bacteria
Description: partial 16S ribosomal RNA
Rfam family: Bacterial small subunit ribosomal RNA
Source: RNAcentral
AUUGAACGCUGGCGGCAGGCCUAACACAUGCAAGUCGAACGGUAACAGGAAGAAGCUUGCUUCUUUGCUGACGAGUGGCGGACGGGUGAGUAAUGUCUGGGAAACUGCCUGAUGGAGGGGGAUAACUACUGGAAACGGUAGCUAAUACCGCAUAACGUCGCAAGACCAAAGAGGGGGACCUUCGGGCCUCUUGCCAGCGGAUGUGCCCAGAUGGGAUUAGCUAGUAGGUGGGGUAACGGCUCACCUAGGCGACGAUCCCUAGCUGGUCUGAGAGGAUGACCAGCCACACUGGAACUGAGACACGGUCCAGACUCCUACGGGAGGCAGCAGUGGGGAAUAUUGCACAAUGGGCGCAAGCCUGAUGCAGCCAUGCCGCGUGUAUGAAGAAGGCCUUCGGGUUGUAAAGUACUUUCAGCGGGGAGGAAGGGAGUAAAGUUAAUACCUUUACUCAUUGACGUUACCCGCAGAAGAAGCACCGGCUAACUCCGUG